ACGAACUCUGGUAUUGAUUGGUGCUUGCAUCAUGAUUUACAUUUGAGUGAGUGGCGAACUGGUGAGUAACACGUGGGAAACCUGCCCAGAAGCGGGGGAUAACACCUGGAAACAGAUGCUAAUACCGCAUAACAACUUGGACCGCAUGGUCCGAGUUUGAAAGAUGGCUUCGGCUAUCACUUCUGGAUGGUCCCGCGGCGUAUUAGCUAGAUGGUGAGGUAACGGCUCACCAUGGCAAUGAUACGUAGCCGACCUGAGAGGGUAAUCGGCCACAUGGGACUGAGACACGGCCCAAACUCCUACGGGAGGCAGCAGUAGGGAAUCUUCCACAAUGGACGAAAGUCUGAUGGAGCAACGCCGCGUGAGUGAAGAAGGGUUUCGGCUCGUAAAACUCUGUUGUUAAAGAAGAACAUAUCUGAGAGUAACUGUUCAGGUAUUGACGGUAUUUAACCAGAAAGCCACGGCUAACUACGUGCCAGCAGCCGCGGUAAUACGUAGGUGGCAAGCGUUGUCCGGAUUUAUUGGGCGUAAAGCGAGCGCAGGCGGUUUUUUAAGUCUGAUGUGAAAGCCUUCGGCUCAACCGAAGAAGUGCAUCGGAAACUGGGAAACUUGAGUGCAGAAGAGGACAGUGGAACUCCAUGUGUAGCGGUGAAAUGCGUAGAUAUAUGGAAGAACACCAGUGGCGAAGGCGGCUGUCUGGUCUGUAACUGACGCUGAGGCUCGAAAGUAUGGGUAGCAAACAGGAUUAGAUACCCUGGUAGUCCAUACCGUAAACGAUGAAUGCUAAGUGUUGGAGGGUUUCCGCCCUUCAGUGCUGCAGCUAACGCAUUAAGCAUUCCGCCUGGGGAGUACGGCCGCAAGGCUGAAACUCAAAGG
RNAcentral lists this ribosomal RNA (876 nucleotides) under uncultured bacterium. Its description in RNAcentral is "bacterial SSU rRNA". It matches the Rfam family "Bacterial small subunit ribosomal RNA", at positions 66 to 907 of the family's 1533-position model. The record is from RNAcentral.